CUACGGGCGGCUCCAGUGGGGAAUAUUGGACAAUGGGGGAAACCCUGAUCCAGCAAUGCCGCGUGUGUGAAGAAGGCCUGCGGGUUGUAAAGCACUUUCGGUUGGGAGGACUGCUUCUAGCACUAAUAUUGUUGGAAGUUGACGUUACCUUCAGAAGAAGCACCGGCUAACUCCGUGCCAGCAGCCGCGGUAAUACGGAGGGUGGCAAGCGUUAAUCGGAAUUACUGGGUGUAAAGCGCGCGUAGGCGGCUAGAUCAGUCGGGUGUGAAAGCCCCGGGCUUAACCUGGGAACUGCAUCCGAUACUGUCUAGCUUGAGUACAGGAGAGGAGAGUGGAAUUCCACAUGUAGCGGUGAAAUGCGUAGAUAUGUGGAGGAACACCAAUGGCGAAGGCAGCUCUCUGGCCUGAUACUGACGCUGAGGUGCGAAAGCGUGGGGAGCAAACAGGAUUAGAUACCCCUGUAGUC
This 466-nucleotide ribosomal RNA is filed under the name uncultured bacterium. Its description in RNAcentral is "partial 16S ribosomal RNA". It matches the Rfam family "Bacterial small subunit ribosomal RNA", at positions 339 to 795 of the family's 1533-position model. The record is from RNAcentral.